This 2397-nucleotide long non-coding RNA is filed under the name Marmota monax (woodchuck). The record is from RNAcentral. Lineage: Eukaryota; Metazoa; Chordata; Mammalia; Rodentia; Sciuridae.
UGGUGUAACAAAUCUGUUAAGGAAGCAAAUAAAAAGAAUUUGGUUUGCUAACUGCCUGAAGUUUAGAAAGUUCUGGUUUUCACUUUACGAUUUGCAAAGCAUAAAGCCAUUUCCUUGUUAAAUUCAGAUGAAUUCUUCAGUAUUUCUUCUCUUUUAAUGAAUUCAUUUUGAUGCUUAUUUCCUAUAACCAAGAAGGCAGUAGAACAGAAAUAAGUCUUUUAAGUUUGAAGCUUGUGCUAAUAAUCAGAUAAAGUUCACUUUCUUCUGAUUUAAGUGAUAUAUAAAUAAAAUAUCCAUUUUAAAUUAGAUUGGCAACUUAAAAAAUCACUUUGAACAAUUUGUUAGUAUUUUUGGUUCCCUUUGAUAGAAUUGUUUUUCCUUUACACGUUUUUACUGCAAAAUGAAGGAUAGACUUGAACUAAAUUGAUCAACUUGUAUUUGAUCUUCACGGGAAUUACAUCUCUUUUCACUCAACAUUUAUUAAAGAAAUAUGAAAACCAGUUGUGGUGGCAUGUGCCUGUAGUCCCAGCUACUUAGAGACAGGAGGAUCGCUUGAGCCCAGGAGUUCAAGGCUAGCCUGGGCAACAUAGUGAGAUCCCGUCUUAGAAAGGAACACAGAAAAUUCCAGUCUAUAGCAAAUUCUUGGCUUGACUAAGAGCUGAUUUUCACUAAGGAACAGAACUUGUAAUUCAUUUCCACACGUUAAGACACAGUUCAUCCCUAUUAAAAUUUGUUUAUUCUGAAACUACACCCUUGUCACCUAAUGUUAUGUCCUUCCUAGUUUACUAUGUCUGACCUUCAAGAUUUCGUGCCUGCUGCUGAAAUGGAAACCAGCCAGUACAGAAAACUGGGGAAAAAUGACAUCUGAAGAAUGCAAGGGGAAAUAGGAACUCAUUUCUAGCAUUUUCAAAUCAGCUUUGUCUACUCCACUACAGUCAGAGGAAAAGAACUGACUUCAUGGAAUUUACCAGCUAAGCCUUACCACUGUUUUUAGUGUUUUUAGGAAAUAUACUAAAAGGUAAGUGAAUUGUAUGUUUUGAAGAAUGAUUGCUAGGUAUGGUAAAACCAGUUGUUCCAUUUUAGUAAAGGUCAGCAGCUCCUUUAUUCUAAGCCUCAAAUUCUUGCCCAUAUUUGGUGUGUUAACAGUAUUGUGGAGAAGGUGAACUUAUGCAACAUGGACGUUUUUCUCCACUUCUCAGCAACUAAGCUGGAACUUAGGUUGAAGUAUACACGGUGCUGAUUUUUGCUGUUUUGUGCUUAAAUUUUUUUUUAAAUUAUUUCAGUUGAGUUUUAGUUUUAUCCCUCAUUAUAUAGAAAAAGGCUUUAAUGUUUCAAAGGUCCUAUCAAGCAUUGUAUAUACAUUAGCUUUUGACAAAUAAGAGCAACAUUAAGGAUUUUUAUUAACAUCCACCAAUAUAUGGUUUUAAUAAAUGAUUUAAAAUUACCUGAAAUAAAUUAUUCCACAUUAAUUAUAUACCUAUGUAUGCCAGGCCCUGAAUACAAAGAUGAACUAAUAUACCCAGUUCAUGUCCUCACAGAGUUCAGUUUUAUUGAUACACUACAGAUAGAAGUUUAGUUUGAGGAAACAAAAUCUGAUAAAAUGAGGCUAAUUCCAUAUCCUCAUCAACAAUCCACUCUAAUAACUAGUAUGUUAAUCUGAAUGUGACAUAUUCUAUAAGAAAACCUCCAUUUGUGUGUGCAUGUGAGCUGAACAUUUACCAAUACUUUGUAUGUGUGGGUUCAUCACAGGUUUAAUCCUCACAUCUGUGCUAUGAGGUAGGUGUUAUUUUCUCAGGCAAGCAUAAAAGCUAACUAACUUGGCCUAAGUUUGCAUGACUGAUGUAGGACUGAUACUUAAACACAGGUAGACUGAUAGCAGAACAUGCACUCUUAAGUUAGAUGUGAUAUUUAUAUGCAGUUCCUGGCUAUAAAACAUGCACAGUUCUUAAUAAAAUAUGCCUCCUUUUAAAAAAGGAAAUCACAAAUAGCUUAGAAAAUUAGAAAUAUAAUAGAAUCUGGGGUUUUAGAGAGCCAGAAAAUCAGAAACUUUUUCUUCCCCGAUUCAAAGAUAGUUUGUAUGCUGACCUUACCUCUUUGCCCCAGACACAAAAUUCAGUGGAACAGAAGGAGGAUAUUUAUAUUCAUGUAAUAUAAUAUUAUAUAAAAUACAUUUACACAUAUAAACUUCUUUAAGUGCUAAAUUAUGAGAAAAUACCACUGCUGAGACUUUCCUUAGGACUCUUUUUAAAAAAUAGGUUAAGACUUUUUGUGCAAAAGUGAAGAAAAACUUCUGAGAAACCCAGGUAGGUAAUUUAUCCCCUGUUGUAUGCAAAGCCUCUGCGCUUCUGUCCUUUAUUGUUUUAUACUUCUGUAAAUCUGAUUUUACCUUUAAUAAAC